RNAcentral lists this ribosomal RNA (494 nucleotides) under uncultured bacterium. Its description in RNAcentral is "bacterial SSU rRNA". It matches the Rfam family "Bacterial small subunit ribosomal RNA", at positions 28 to 507 of the family's 1533-position model. The record is from RNAcentral.
GAUGAACGCUAGCGGCAGGCUUAAUACAUGCAAGUCGAGGGGUAGCAAGAUUGUAGCAAUACAAUUGUUGACGACCGGCAAACGGGUGCGGAACACGUACACAACCUUCCUACAAGUGGGGAAUAGCCCAGAGAAAUUUGGAUUAAUACCCCGUAACAUAGCGAUGUGGCAUCACAUUGCUAUUAUAGCUUCGGCGCUUGUUGAUGGGUGUGCGGCUGAUUAGAUAGUUGGCGGGGUAACGGCCCACCAAGUCUACGAUCUGUAGCUGGUCUGAGAGGACGACCAGCCACACGUGGGACUGAGACACGGCCCAGACUCCUACGGGGGGCAGCAGUGGGGAAUUUUGGACAAUGGGCGCAAGCCUGAUCCAGCAAUGCCGCGUGCAGGAAGAAGGCCUUCGGGUUGUAAACUGCUUUUGUACGGAACGAAAAGGCUCUGGUUAAUACCUGGGGCUAAUGACGGUACCGUAAGAAUAAGCACCGGCUAACUACGUG